Molecule: ribosomal RNA, 409 nt
Filed under: Micronetinae sp. 2 LT-2015
Lineage: Eukaryota; Metazoa; Arthropoda; Arachnida; Araneae; Linyphiidae
Description: partial 16S ribosomal RNA
Source: RNAcentral
AUGACUAUAAAUAAAAUCUGCUCAAUGUUUUUAAAUAGCCGCAGAAUUUUAACUGUGCUAAGGUAGCAUAAUCAUUUACCUUUUAAUUAAAGGUUUGUAUGAAAGAUUUCACAAUUAAUUUACUUUUUUGUUAAUAUAAAUCUAAUUUAAAUCAAGAAUAAAAAUGUUCUUAUAAUUAAAAAGGACGACAAGACCCUAUUGAACUUAACUAAAGUUAAGCUGGGGAAGCUAAUUAAAUAUUAUUUUAAUAAACCUGUUUAAAUAAAUUUCUAAUACAAUUAAAUAAAACAAGUUACCAUAGGGAUAACAGCGUAAUAAUUUUCAAAAGUUCUUAUUUAAAAUAAAGAUUACGACCUCGAUGUUGAAUUAAAAUUACUCUAACCCGCAAUAGAGUUAGAAGUAGGUCUGU